AGUGAAAUUGCUGAUUCAUAUGGUAACUCUGUUAAACUCUUUGAGAAACUGUCAGGCUGUUUUCCAAAGUGGCUGUCCCAUUUUAUAGUCCCACCAACAAU
RNAcentral lists this microRNA precursor (101 nucleotides) under Marmota monax (woodchuck). Lineage: Eukaryota; Metazoa; Chordata; Mammalia; Rodentia; Sciuridae. The record is from RNAcentral.